CAGGCCUACACAUGCAAGUGGAGCGAGAAAGUACCUUCGGGUGCGAGUAAAGCGGCGACGGGAGAGUAACACGUGGGUAACCUGCCCUAGAGACCGGGACAACCAUCGAAAGGAUGGCUAAUACCGGAUAUCCUGCGGAAUCGCAUGGUUCCGUAUAAACGGUAGCUUCGGCUUCCGCUCCAGGAUGGGCCCGCGGCCCAUGAGUUGUUGGUAGGGUAACGGCCUACCAAGGCAACGAUGGGUAGCCGGCCUGGAGGGCGAUCGGCCUCACUGGGACUGAACACGGCCCAGACUCCUACGGAGGCAGCAGUGGGGAAUCUUGCGCAAUGGGCGAAAGCCUGACGCAGCAAGCCGCGUGGGGGAAGAAGGCCUUCGGGUCGUACACCUCUGUCAGGAGGG
Molecule: ribosomal RNA, 399 nt
Filed under: uncultured bacterium
Lineage: Bacteria
Description: bacterial SSU rRNA
Rfam family: Bacterial small subunit ribosomal RNA
Source: RNAcentral